CGUGAAGAUGCUCAAAUGGAAGAACAGUUACCUCAAAUGAGCUAUAUGUACUUUUCAGGAAAUCCCUCAACUAAAAUUACCUCAGUCCCUUAACAAUUUUUUUCGUGAGAUUCAGGGCCUGUGGAGGUGUCUUCGGGCAACCAAAGCAGCUUCAGUGACAAGGCAGAGGACGUUGACGACAUCCUCGACUUUGCAUUUGCUUCCUUUAAACGUUCGCCCUUUGUAGUUCUCGAAGUUGGCCAUGCAGCUCAUUCUCCACUGUCUGUGCCCGACGCUGCUCGCCCUUGACGAGUUCCUCGACGAAUCUCCACACGGAGUCGGGCCUCAAGUCCCUCGACGAGUUCCUCUCCGGCAAGACCUACAUCUCCGGAGAUCAGCUCACGAAGGAGGAAGGACGACAUCAAGGUGUACGCCGCGGUUCUCGAAAGCCCGGAGGCUCGUUCCCGAACGCCGGCAAGUGGUACCGUCAUUUGUGCUCUCCCACAAAGGAAUGCGCAACAAUUACAAAGUUCAGCUGCAAAUUCGAAAGUACAUUUGCAAACCAAUUCGGUACCAAAGACAGAACUAGGAGGGUGGACGUCAGUGAAGUCAGAAAAAGCAACUUUUGCUUCUAAUAUGCCAAUUAUGAAGCACGGGCAAAAAGAUGUGUUAUCAAACAGAAAGGUCAGGGUGGAUGAAAGAAGCUGUCGACUUGCUAUUGAGUCAGAUGAGGAGAUUGACAGUGGAUUUCCUUGCUUGCUUGAUGACAGGGAGACGGAUAAGGGUAGCUCCAUAACAGAUGAAGUCAAGGUAGAGACGGCGCGUAUUCUAAGGAAAGCAAGGAAACAAAAGUGGAGGUCUUCCAAAACUAUAGUCAUUGUUGAAGGUCAGUAACUCCUUUUCUAUAUGAGUUGCCACACAUUUAGUAGUUCCUGCCCGUAGACUAGUAGAUGUCUGCAAAUAAUAUUCUCUCCAGCCUUGUGCUUCAAGUCAGGAAGAAUUAUAAGUCAUGGCAGAUACAAUUACAUCUUGUAGUACCCUUAUCAUUGUAAUUCAAAGCAUUAUCGAAGAUUCGUUUGUUGUUUAUUGGCCAAUGAUACUGCAGUAGACAAAGUGGUAUUUGUUUGUAAUGCCUAAUUCAUGCCCACUGGGGGGUUACUGGAUAGGCCAAUGCUUCUUCCAUAGUUCACCGUAGCUUGGUGUUGGAAAUAAGGCUCAAUUCCUGGCAGAGAGGAGACAAGCUUCUUGGAAAAGCAGAUACAGUUCUGCCGAAUAACCACCAUAAGGUGACAGAAAUACACAAUUUUAGUCAUGAUGAUUUGAUGACCGAAGAUAUAUUUGUCUUGGAUUGUCACUCAGCAAUCUUUGUCUGGGUGGGACAACAAGUUGACUCCAAGAUGAAAAUGCAUGCUUUAACCAUUGGAGAGCUUUCAGUGAUCACUGAGGAGCGGGAUAAAUAUCAAACUCUUGUCAAUGAGCUGAAGAAGCCAGAGAAAGAUGAAACUGGGAGUAAAGUGGCAAAUGAGUUGCAGUUGUCUCUUGCCAAGAAGGAAUGCUGUAUCAAAGAAAUGGAGAGCAGUUUAAAUGAGCAAAAGGAAGCUAAUAAUCGGCAACGGGAGGAGAUUUAAAUGAGAGGCUAAAUAAUGAAGCAAGAAGGAUAAAAUCAACCGGAAAGGGAAAGUGAUUGGCUUAGAUCAGAAAUUUCUCUUUUGGAGUCAAAGCUGGGUCAUGGUGAUUUUUCUGCCACAAGUACAAAAGUACUGCGCAUGGUGAAUACUCUUGCAAUUGAUAAUGAGGCAAAGCAAACCAUUCAAGGGGCAGGUCUCCUGCUUUCAAUGCACUAGUUGCUAAUUUUGAGAAUCAAUUGCAAGAAAUCUCUCAACUCCACCACCAGUUGUCAGGAAGAUCUUUCCAAAGUCUGUCACCCUUGAUUCAACGAAACUGGCUUCCAAAUCUUCAGCUAUAGCAGCUAUCAGUUCCACUUUUGAGAAAUCACCACCAGGCUUCCAAAUCUUCAGCUAUAGCAGCUAUCAGUUCCACUUUUGAGAAAUCACCACCAAUACGAAGUCAUCAUACCCAAAUCUAUCAAAGGUACACCAUAACUUAUAAAUUAAUGCUUAGGGAAAUACACCAACAGCCGACUAUUGUUUCUAUGGAGUUUUAUUUGAUCAUCUUGUUUUACCGGGCAGUGAAUCCUAAGACACCAAAACAGAAUUCAGAGCCUAAUAACAAAGAGAACUCAUGCUUGGUCGAAGUUUGUUGCUUGCAUCAGUGAUUUUCUUGUAUUUGUCACAACAAAAGUUGCUAAGUUGCCAUCAUUUUUCUGA
Eucalyptus grandis is the source of this 2306-nucleotide RNA transcript. RefSeq lists it as uncharacterized. The transcript is spliced from 11 exons. Lineage: Eukaryota; Viridiplantae; Streptophyta; Magnoliopsida; Myrtales; Myrtaceae. The record is from RefSeq and is a predicted model, not a curated record.